GUCAUUGGAGAUUUCACAUGGCUGUCUGACAGCAAAUUUUCCUUUCCGUUCGUUAGGAGGUACCAGCCAACAGAAGCCUGAAGAGAGAUAAUUUUCUUCGAAUUCCCACAGAGGACCUUUGACACAUUCAUGAAGUUACAAAAACAUUUGGAUGAGCCAGUCUACAAAAAUGGGUGCUGUUGCCUCAUUUAUGUAGAAUAUGCCGAGUUGGAAGGGACCCACAAAUAUCACUGCGUCCAGCUCCUGGCUCCACACAGGAAUACCCCCAAAUCAAACCAUAAGUCUGAGAUGGUUCUCCAAAUGCUUGAACUCCAGCUGGACUGGGGCCAUGGCUACUUCCCUGGGGAGCCUGUUCCAGUGCCCCACAACCAUCUUG
Molecule: long non-coding RNA, 376 nt
Organism: Cygnus atratus (black swan)
Lineage: Eukaryota; Metazoa; Chordata; Aves; Anseriformes; Anatidae
Exons: 3
Source: RefSeq, a predicted model, not a curated record